CCUUAGUAGCGGCGAGUGAAGCGGCAAAAGCUCAAAUUUGAAAUCUGGCGCCUUCGGUGUCCGAGUUGUAAUUUGAAGAUUGUAACCUUGGGGUUGGCUCUUGUCUAUGUUUCUUGGAACAGGACGUCACAGAGGGUGAGAAUCCCGUGCGAUGAGAUGCCCAAUUCUAUGUAAGGUGCUUUCGAAGAGUCGAGUUGUUUGGGAAUGCAGCUCUAAGUGGGUGGUAAAUUCCAUCUAAAGCUAAAUAUUGGCGAGAGACCGAUAGCGAACAAGUACAGUGAUGGAAAGAUGAAAAGAACUUUGAAAAGAGAGUGAAAAAGUACGUGAAAUUGUUGAAAGGGAAGGGUUUGAGAUCAGACUCGAUAUUUUGUGAGCCUUGCCUUCGUGGCGGGGUGACCCGCAGCUUAUCGGGCCAGCAUCGGUUUGGGCGGUAGGAUAAUGGCGUAGGAAUGUGACUUUACUUCGGUGAAGUGUUAUAGCCUGCGUUGAUGCUGCCUGCCUAGACCGAGGACUGCGAUUUUAUCAAGGAUGCUGGCAUAAUGAUCCCAAACCGCCCGUCUG
Molecule: ribosomal RNA, 561 nt
Filed under: Meyerozyma guilliermondii
Lineage: Eukaryota; Fungi; Ascomycota; Pichiomycetes; Serinales; Debaryomycetaceae
Description: eukaryotic LSU rRNA
Rfam family: Eukaryotic large subunit ribosomal RNA
Source: RNAcentral